RNAcentral lists this ribosomal RNA (253 nucleotides) under uncultured bacterium. RNAcentral's name for it is "partial 16S ribosomal RNA". It matches the Rfam family "Bacterial small subunit ribosomal RNA", at positions 524 to 776 of the family's 1533-position model. The record is from RNAcentral.
UACGUAGGGCGCAAGCGUUGUCCGGAAUUAUUGGGCGUAAAGAGCUCGUAGGCGGUCUGUCGCGUCGGAUGUGAAAGCCCGGGGCUUAACCCCGGGUCUGCAUUCGAUACGGGCAGACUAGAGUGUGGUAGGGGAGAUCGGAAUUCCUGGUGUAGCGGUGAAAUGCGCAGAUAUCAGGAGGAACACCGGUGGCGAAGGCGGCUCUCUGGUACGUGACUGACGCUGAGACGCGAAAGCGUGGGGAGCAAAUAGG